UCACAGAGAACAAGAGAUUAAAGUGC
Molecule: non-coding RNA, 26 nt
Filed under: Homo sapiens (human)
Lineage: Eukaryota; Metazoa; Chordata; Mammalia; Primates; Hominidae
Source: RNAcentral